RNAcentral lists this ribosomal RNA (376 nucleotides) under uncultured bacterium. RNAcentral's name for it is "bacterial SSU rRNA". It matches the Rfam family "Bacterial small subunit ribosomal RNA", at positions 521 to 896 of the family's 1533-position model. The record is from RNAcentral.
UAAGACGAACCGUCCUAACGUUGUUCGGAAUCACUGGGCUUAAAGGGCGCGUAGGCGGGCGAUCAAGUCCAGGGUGAAAUCUUUCGGCUUAACCGGAAAAUAGCCUUGGAUACUGGUGGUCUCGAGGGAGGUAGGGGCCGUUGGAACUUCCGGUGGAGCGGUGAAAUGCGUUGAUAUCGGAAGGAACGCCGGUGGCGAAAGCGAACGGCUGGACCUCUUCUGACGCUGAGGCGCGAAAGCCAGGGGAGCAAACGGGAUUAGAUACCCCGGUAGUCCUGGCCCUAAACGAUGGGUACUAGAUAGCGGACUAGACAUGGGUUCGCUGUCGAAGCAAAAGUGCUAAGUACCCCGCCUGGGGAGUAUGGUCGCAAGGCUG